GACGUAGGGCGCGAGCGUUGUCCGGAUUUAUUGGGCGUAAAGAGCUCGUAGGCGGUCUGUCGCGUCGGAUGUGAAAACCCAGGGCUCAACCCUGGGCCUGCAUUCGAUACGGGCAGACUAGAGUUCGGUAGGGGAGACUGGAAUUCCUGGUGUAGCGGUGAAAUGCGCAGAUAUCAGGAGGAACACCGAUGGCGGAGGCAGCUCGCUGGGACGUAACUGACGCUGAGACGCGAAAGCGUGGGGAGCAAACAGG
This 253-nucleotide ribosomal RNA is filed under the name uncultured bacterium. RNAcentral's name for it is "partial 16S ribosomal RNA". It matches the Rfam family "Bacterial small subunit ribosomal RNA", at positions 524 to 776 of the family's 1533-position model. The record is from RNAcentral.